GACGAACGCUGGCGGCGUGCUUAACACAUGCAAGUCGAGCGGUAAGGCCCUUUCGGGGGUACGACGAGCGGCGAACGGGUGAGUAACACGUGGGUGACCUGCCCUCAGCUCUGGGAUAAGCCUGGGAAACUGGGUCUAAUACCGGAUAUGACUCCAUGACGCAUGUUGUGGGGUGGAAAGCCUUGUGCGGCUGAGGAUGGGCCCGCGGCCUAUCAGCUUGUUGGUGGGGUGAGGCCUACCAAGGCGACGACGGGUAGCCGGCCUGAGAGGGCGACCGGCCACACUGGGACUGAGACACGGCCCAGACUCCUACGGGAGGCAGCAGUGGGGAAUCUUGCGCAAUGGGCGAAAGCCUGACGCAGCGACGCCGCGUGAGGGAUGACGGCCU
RNAcentral lists this ribosomal RNA (388 nucleotides) under uncultured bacterium. Its description in RNAcentral is "bacterial SSU rRNA". It matches the Rfam family "Bacterial small subunit ribosomal RNA", at positions 28 to 417 of the family's 1533-position model. The record is from RNAcentral.